Molecule: transfer-messenger RNA, 403 nt
Filed under: uncultured Alistipes sp.
Lineage: Bacteria; Pseudomonadati; Bacteroidota; Bacteroidia; Bacteroidales; Rikenellaceae
Rfam family: transfer-messenger RNA
About the family: Bacterial tmRNA, also known as 10Sa RNA or SsrA, is named for its dual tRNA and mRNA-like properties.
Source: RNAcentral
GGGGGUGACCGGUUUUGACAGCAGGUAGAGUCUGAUUGUAAGCACGUCGAGCAUUGUGUGGUGGCUCGUAAAUAUCAACGCUCAAAAAUUAACUGGCAAUAACAGCUACGCACUCGCUGCUUAAUUUUCGAGGAAAAUUAGCUUAAUCGACGGCUCCAAGGCGGGCUGACGACGAGUAUCCCGAACGGUGGUUCCGCUCUUUAAUCAUCGCUCAUAUGGGGUAUCAUUCAUUUAGAGAUAGCCGCGAGGAGGGCUUCGGCCGAGUGGCGAAAUUUUAGAAGCUGGGGCUUGUGUUCGGUUGUUGCCUGCCAGGCAUAAGCAGAAGGAUUAAACGGUAACUAAACGUGUAGAAAGCCUUUGGGUUCCUUGUUUGGACGCGGGUUCGACUCCCGCCACCUCCACC